Molecule: ribosomal RNA, 239 nt
Filed under: Parahaemophilus parainfluenzae
Lineage: Bacteria; Pseudomonadati; Pseudomonadota; Gammaproteobacteria; Pasteurellales; Pasteurellaceae
Description: Haemophilus parainfluenzae partial 23S ribosomal RNA
Rfam family: Bacterial large subunit ribosomal RNA
Source: RNAcentral
GAGCGAACGCAGCGAACUGAAACAUCUUAGUAGCUGUAGGAAGAGAAAGAAAACUCGAUUCCCGUAGUAGCGGCGAGCGAAGAGGGAAGAGCCUAAACCAGUGGUUUUUACCAUUGGGGUUGUGGGACAACGAUAUGGAAUCCGGCGGUUAGACGAAGCAGUUGAAAGCUGCACCAGAGGAGGUGAAAGUCCUGUAGUCGAAAGCUUAAGGAUACUAGUUGAAUCCCGAGUAGCACGGG